GGUCCCAUAGUUCAAUGGAUAGAAUAGGAGUUUCCUAAACUCUUGAUCCAGGUUCGACUCCUGGUGGGAUCACCA
Molecule: transfer RNA, 75 nt
Filed under: Flavobacteriales bacterium
Lineage: Bacteria; Pseudomonadati; Bacteroidota; Flavobacteriia; Flavobacteriales
Description: tRNA-Arg
Rfam family: tRNA
About the family: Transfer RNA (tRNA) molecules are approximately 80 nucleotides in length. Their secondary structure includes four short double-helical elements and three loops (D, anti-codon, and T loops). Further hydrogen bonds mediate the characteristic L-shaped molecular structure. tRNAs have two regions of fundamental functional importance: the anti-codon, which is responsible for specific mRNA codon recognition, and the 3' end, to which the tRNAs corresponding amino acid is attached (by aminoacyl-tRNA synthetases). tRNAs cope with the degeneracy of the genetic code in two manners: having more than one tRNA (with a specific anti-codon) for a particular amino acid; and 'wobble' base-pairing, i.e. permitting non-standard base-pairing at the 3rd anti-codon position.
Source: RNAcentral